RNAcentral lists this ribosomal RNA (2231 nucleotides) under Triticum aestivum (bread wheat). RNAcentral describes it as "partial small subunit ribosomal RNA". The record is from RNAcentral. Lineage: Eukaryota; Viridiplantae; Streptophyta; Magnoliopsida; Poales; Poaceae.
CACAACUUUCUACCACCCACGACCAGCCCUCGCGCGGCUCCGGGGAAGAAGCAGCCACGCACCACGCUCCAGAAGGUAAGGUGUGCGUGGAGAGGCAGUUCGCAACGACCUAUCAUACCGUUGUAGCGGCCCGGGAAGAAGCAGCUGGCGCCACGGGUUUUCCCCUGCUACAUUCUUCUUCUCUCCUCCACCUCGUGCACCAGCGCCCUCUCCUCCAUCCCACUGAGAAUGCCGCGGAAGGAGCGGUGGCGGGGGUCGACAAAGUGGGCUCGUGCACUGACGAUCCCACCUGAGCAGGCUCCUCCUCCGACGUGCCUGAGGCCAGGUGCUCGGAGGUCAGGUGCCCAGAAGCCGGGUGCUCGGAGCCCAGCUGUCCGGAAGCUGGGUGCUCUGAACCCGGGUGCUCUCGGGCCUCCUCGUGUGCAGACCUACCCCAUGGACCAACCCAGUCGGACUCCUCAGCUCACCGGUGCGACUACUACCGCCCCUCGGCUCACCGGUACGACUACUACCGCCCCUCGGCUGACUACUCCUCCCCCUCCUCCCCCGUUGUAGAUGGUCGCACCACGAUGUGCCGAGGGCAGACACGGCCGCUGGGCACUCGUCUCCACCAACUAAAAGGGACUACCCCUCUCCAUUCACGUAAAUUAUAAAAACAUGGAAGACGUAAGUGCAAAGAAGUUUAUUGACUACACAACCGGAACAGUACGACCUCCCCAACCCUGGUGGUACUUUCACAGGCGGCCGGGUUGAGGCAGGAACCUCAAGACUAAGCCGUUUUGAAGGGCCCCAAAUAGUGCAACGGACCACUCCCAGCCGAAGGUCUCCAACCUAACUGAACCCUCGUGAUGAACCGACGGGGCCGGGGCGGCCCACUCUAAUAGCUGCCACAGAACACGUUCUGCUCCCGUCUGCAGUACUAGUCUUUCAAGACCUGUAAGAUGUCCACACUCCUCCCUAUGCUCCUCCUCCGCCUAGUACAAUAGGUGUUCCUCACGUUCGCGGAUGAAGUCUUGAAUGCCGUACUCCAAGCCCACGUCCGACAAGCUCUGAUGAUGCGGCCCGCACCAUAGUUCUUCGGGUUCAUCCUCACAACGCUAUUCAAGAACUCAUUCCUCUUCAUGUACUUCCGGGGAGGCUCUAACACACGCCUAGCCUACCUAACAACCCUCCACAACCAGUUACGCACCACGAGUUUUCUUACAGACCGGUGGGUGUUUCUCCGGUUCCUGUUUGCACGGGUUUACCUUCCACACGGUGUGGUGGUUCCGUCGAGGUUGAAUAAAGUCAUGCCCGCCUUGACCCGUGCGAUAUUAUUCCGCCUAUUCCACGGUCUCCACAUGCUGGACAUACGGUACCGGGUGUGACCGGGAAUGUUCUUUCAGUUCCGUAAGAGACGCAGACUGGAGCUACUAGGUUUCUUGAAGUGGUUGUAGAGGCGGGUGCUGUUCGAGCACGUUAUAUCUCUAGUACCCUUCCGCUCCUUUCCCCUCCUGAAAUUGGGCUCGGUCCCAGGGUAACUAUAUCUCGACGACUACUAUAGACCACCGCCCUCCAGGGUACCGAGGUAUCGGUACCCUCUACCUGAAUAGGCAACAGGAUCGUGAGAGGGCCUCUAGUUCCGCGCGGUCAGCUCGAGGCGAGGACUCUAUUCCGGAGCACUUGCCGGUCAGGUUGAGCGGAAGUUCCGACGAUAUGUCUCACUCUCUCCAUCUUGCCUCUUUGAACCGCCUCCGCCGCCUCUCCGUCGCCCUCAACCUCCUCUCCUGCUGUUUCUACAACCUCCUCCUCUCCCGUACCUUACUGUACGUCCGUUCCCGGUACAUGCUCGAGGAACACAGACACACGCUCUUCAGGCCAGUCUGGCGAGGCGGCUACGGUCACUAACGAGGACCCUCGUGCGAAUUGAGGUCUUUGCGUAGCGUGCUAGGAAGAGGUCGAUGGCCGCGCUCGGUCGGACGAGGAAGAGGUCGAUGGCCGCGCUCGGUCGGGCGAGGAUGUGGAAAGACUAGUGCCAAAGUAAGUGAAGUGCCUUCGGUCGAAGGAUACUACCUAACGAACGAAAAAGGACAAAAAAGGAAACUACGUGAAGAACAUAAGAUGAGCGAACGAUACUACUUUGAAACGUAUAACAUUAUACAUACCUAGCUACCUUGAUACACGUUGGAUGAUACAUACAUACCUACCUAUAUAUACACGACCUAUAAAUAAUACAACCUAUAUAUACACGG